UACGUAGGGUGCGAGCGUUAAUCGGAAUUACUGGGCGUAAAGCGUGCGCAGGCGGUUCGUUAUGUCCGAUGUGAAAGCCCCGAGCUCAACUUGGGAAUGGCAUUGGAAACUGGCUGGCUAGAGUGUGGCAGAGGGGGGUGGAAUUCCGCGUGUAGCAGUGAAAUGCGUAGAGAUGCGGAGGAACACCGAUGGCGAAGGCAGCCCCCUGGGCUGACACUGACGCUCAGGCACGAAAGCGUGGGGAGCAAACAGG
RNAcentral lists this ribosomal RNA (253 nucleotides) under uncultured bacterium. RNAcentral describes it as "partial 16S ribosomal RNA". It matches the Rfam family "Bacterial small subunit ribosomal RNA", at positions 524 to 776 of the family's 1533-position model. The record is from RNAcentral.